CGGACGGGUGAGUAACGCGUGGGUAACCUGCCUUGUACUGGGGGACAACAGUUAGAAAUGACUGCUAAUACCGCAUAAGCGCACAGUAUCGCAUGAUACAGUGUGAAAAACUCCGGUGGUACAAGAUGGACCCGCGUCUGAUUAGCUAGUUGGUAGGUAACGGCUUACCAAGGCGACGAUCAGUAGCCGACCUGAGAGGGUGACCGGCCACAUUGGGACUGAGACACGGCCCAA
Molecule: ribosomal RNA, 234 nt
Filed under: uncultured bacterium
Lineage: Bacteria
Description: partial 16S ribosomal RNA
Rfam family: Bacterial small subunit ribosomal RNA
Source: RNAcentral